AAAGCACAGCAGGUAAUCGCUUUUUUAAAGAGGAAAGUCCGAGCUGCCAUAAGACAGAGUUCCAUCUAACAGAUGGCUAGGGCGACCUAAGGGAAAGUGUAACAGAAAGCAAACUACCGAAAAAUCGGCAAAGGUGAAACGGCGGGGUAAGAGCCCACCAACGAGCUUGGCAACAAGUGCGUUUAUAAACCCAACUCGCAGCAAGAAGGGGUGGUUUUUAGUCUUAUAUUAAAACCCUUCGCUAAAUUUUGUAUGCAAAUGCAAAAUAAGAUAAAUGAUUACCAAAAACAGAACUCGGCUUAGGGCUGUGCUUUGUGA
This 318-nucleotide RNase P RNA is filed under the name Campylobacter gastrosuis. RNAcentral describes it as "RNase P RNA component class A". It matches the Rfam family "Bacterial RNase P class A". From Rfam's summary of the family: Ribonuclease P (RNase P) is a ubiquitous endoribonuclease, found in archaea, bacteria and eukarya as well as chloroplasts and mitochondria. Its best characterised activity is the generation of mature 5'-ends of tRNAs by cleaving the 5'-leader elements of precursor-tRNAs. The record is from RNAcentral. Lineage: Bacteria; Pseudomonadati; Campylobacterota; Epsilonproteobacteria; Campylobacterales; Campylobacteraceae.